Molecule: long non-coding RNA, 3627 nt
Filed under: Olea europaea (common olive)
Lineage: Eukaryota; Viridiplantae; Streptophyta; Magnoliopsida; Lamiales; Oleaceae
Description: long non-coding RNA (OEUR_LNC000730)
Source: RNAcentral
GAGAGAAGAACCCUUUUCAGGGCAUUCAGAGAGAAGAACCCUUUUCAGGGCAUUCCCCCUUUAUCUUUUCACAUCAAAUGACUAAAAGUCAAUAUAUAUAAGUCCAAUACGCUAAAAAUAGGUCCCUUCGGGAGGCUGGGCCAGCUUACGGUUGUGUGAAGCCGCCAUCUCUUUCUUCAGCUGCACCAGUAUAUGUUCCAUGGUGUAUUCCCGUUGCCAAUUUCCCAGAACUGCAAAUUUCUUCGCUUCCACCUAUAUCAAGUGAACACCAUACACCAACAAUCAACAAUAUGACAGAAUUGGGAAAUAUGCAUUUAUCAGCUCAAUGAUAGAAAUUCGCCAUGAUAAGCAUAGUGGUGUGAUUAGAGGUUUUAUUGAUCCCAAGUCUCAAAUAAGAUUGUAGCAUCCGUCAUUGAAAUGUUGUGUAUGGUAAAAUAUUUCGACUGUAUCGUCCAACAAAAGGUUGACUUUUAAACUCACUGCCAAUGUGGUUAAGAGUAGUGUACUAUCCUCAUCAGGAAAGGUUCAAGCAACCACCCGGUAUGGAAUAUGAGUAAAUUCACCUCCAAGACGGGUAAGUCAAUCUCAGCCAAAGUUAGAUAUUCUAUUGAACUGCACAAAUUGUUCCAACAACAAACAUUUUUAUUGUAGAAUAUCGGCAACUAACAUAGGGUCAUAUGAAAAGGGCACAAUUUAUGUAAAUAUACUGAUGAUCUACAAUGUUUUCUAUAUCCAUAAAACGUAGACAACAACCAAGAAGCUUUAAGAUCUUCAAUCUUUAUACUUUUUACAAAGGCCAACGAAAGUAAAUAUUGGAAAGUCAAAUUGGUCGGUUAAAUAUCAAUUAUUGUAGAAUAUAUUCAAGUUUGGGUGACUUUUAAUCAAAACAAGAGAUGAUCGGCUGAAGAAGGGCGAGAAAAAAGAAUUUCAAAGUUAAUGGACGAAAUCACAAUUAUCAAAAAGUUGAUUCGAAUCAAGAAAUGAAGAUUGAAGAUCAAAUGGAGUCAACUAAAUGAAAAUUGCCCGAAGCAAGGAUUCAAGCUUAACAAAUGAGCAAAACUGAGGACCAAAUUACAGUUUGAUAAAACAUUAACCCUCGCAGUCGCAAGGAGCAAAGAUCGUACAUGUAUAAUUCGGCAGACGAGGGUAGUUUCCCUUCUUUGAGUGAAAUUCCUUAUGGCAACCAUCUUCGACGUGAAUUACAGAACUUCUUCCAAUGUUGUAAGAUAUGAGAUACCUCUCAUAUCAUAUAGUACAUCAAAUCUCGCAAUCAAGGAGGUCAAAUCAUCACUAUUUUGAAAGAAAUCAAGAGGUAAGAUACAAGAAGUUCAUCAUUUGAAGAUUAAUGAUGUGUUUGAGCAACAUUUAAAAAAAAUGUAUUUUGGAAUAGUAGUUUGAUGGAGAAUGGUAGUUAAAAAAGAAGAAUUUUUUUUUAUUUGCGUGUAAUAUCAUUUUAACGAAGAAUAUGUGAUUGAAAAUAAGAUUAAAAAAUUGUAUUUUAAGAAAAAUGUGAUUCAAAUAUCCCUUGAACCUAGAUUUUUGGAAAAGAAGAGGAAUGUGCAGCUAGAAAUUAACCAAGUAAGAUUGAAGAAAUUCAAGAUUUCAAGGCUUCUCCUCUUCUUAUUCAUAUAUCUCAAAUUCGGGUGAUUUGAAUUCUUGUAACUUUGUAAUGCUAAAUUGGAUUUUUAGUCACUAAGACAUUGAAGGACCUUUGUUAUGAAGUUUUAAUAUCAAUUUCAAUACUUUGAAGCUCAAUAGUAUUUUUUUUUUUUUUUUAGAGUUUAAUGUUUUUUAAGUACUUAGCCCCUGUUUGUCAUCCUUUACUUUACAUUCUUUUCUAUUAUUUUUUCUACAGUACUUAUUUUUAACCACAUAUUCUUCAUUAAAAUAAUAUUACAUGCAAAUCAAAAAAAAUUUCUUCUUUUUUAACUACACAUUCUCUAUCAAUUACUAUUCCAUAAUAUAUAUCUCAGAAUUAAUGGGGCUCAAAUAGGGCCUUAAUCACUAAUUGGUAGAUGUAUGAUUUUUGUUACCUUCUAGAGAAACAAUAAGAAAGAUAACAUGUUUAUAAUAAUUGUUGUGAGAUCUGAUAAAGAAUAAAGAUAUACUGCUAUGUCUUGCAUGGUUGCAAUAGGUUUUCUAGCAUUUUAAUGUAUGCUUUUCAUGUUCGAGAAAGAAUAUUAAAUGAAUGAUAAGUUACAUGAGUUGAUAAGUUUAAUAAUUCUACUCAAGAAAGAAUAUUAAAUGAAUUAAGAACAUUGAUCAACAAGGAUAAAUAAAUAUUUUCAAGAUAUUGAAUUGUAUUGGAAAUGGAGAUUUGAAGUCUUGUGCUUAUUUUAAUCAAGUUUAUAAAAAAGUUCUUAAUUGCUACUUUAGCUAUUCAAUUCAUCGUAGGCGGGAAAUACAGAUCUUAAAUGAGCGAUGUUCUUGCCGGAAUUCAACUUAAUUUCUUCAAAACAAAGUGAUAUUGGCAGUAGGCACAGCAAACCCACAAAACACAAUGAUAUUGGCACGCAAAAGAAACCACGUUAAUCAUUCGGACCCCAUCAAUUCGUUCACUGGGGAAUACAGUAUCAAGAAGCCAAGAAAGUAAGAGAGAAGAACCCUUUUCAGGGCAUUCCCCCUUUAUCUUUUCACAUCAAAUGACUAAAAGUCAAUAUAUAUAAGUCCAAUACGCUAAAAAUAGGUCCCUUCGGGAGGCUGGGCCAGCUUACGGUUGUGUGAAGCCGCCAUCUCUUUCUUCAGCUGCACCAGUAUAUGUUCCAUGGUGUAUUCCCGUUGCCAAUUUCCCAGAACUGCAAAUUUCUUCGCUUCCACCUAUAUCAAGUGAACACCAUACACCAACAAUCAACAGUAUGACAGAAUUGGGAAAUAUGCAUUUAUCAGCUCAAUGAUAGAAAUUCGCCAUGAUAAGCAUAGUGGUGUGAUUAGAGGUUUUAUUGAUCCCAAGUCUCAAAUAAGAUUGUAGCAUCCGUCAUUGAAAUGUUGUGUAUGGUAAAAUAUUUCGACUGUAUCGUCCAACAAAAGGUUGACUUUUAAACUCACUGCCAAUGUGGUUAAGAGUAGUGUACUAUCCUCAUCAGGAAAGGUUCAAGCAACCACCCGGUAUGGAAUAUGAGUAAAUUCACCUCCAAGACGGGUAAGUCAAUCUCAGCCAAAGUUAGAUAUUCUAUUGAACUGCACAAAUUGUUCCAACAACAAACAUUUUUAUUGUAGAAUAUCGGCAACUAACAUAGGGUCAUAUGAAAAGGGCACAAUUUAUGUAAAUAUACUGAUGAUCUACAAUGUUUUCUAUAUCCAUAAAACGUAGACAACAACCAAGAAGCUUUAAGAUCUUCAAUCUUUAUACUUUUUACAAGGUAAAUAAAUGGUAAACUAUGAAGGUCAGACAGCCACUUGUCCUGGCAUCGCACUCUUCCAUUAAGGGGAGAGAAGAUAACCAGAAAGAUAAUGUAUGCUUUAGCGCCAAAUUACGAUUCCGUUGGUCGCUGAAGAGUAAAUAAAUGCACGUAAAAAACAUUAGAUCUAUUUUUACUAACUCAACAGCUGAGGAUAUAGCAAUUCCAAUUUGUUAACAAAAAUCCAUACUAUCAACUUAAAGACCGGAUCAAAAUUUCCUUACCACUC